UCUAUUUGCCAUGAAGUGAUGGGACUGGAUGCCAUGACCUUGUUUUUUGAAUGUUGAGUUUUAAGCCAGCGUUUUCACUCUCCUCUUUCAUCCUCAUUAAGAGGCUCUUUGAUUCCUCUUGUGGUUUGUUGUAUUACAACAUGGGCUGAAUUCACAGACUUGCUGGUUCCUCAAGUGAAAAUUAAAACAUUGGGAUGAAGAGAAUGUGACCUUGUAAAGGGAAAUGGAGACUUUGGGGAGGAUUCAGAUAACUCAUAGCUCACCCACACCUGAAGACCCUAUAAGAAGAUUUUCUUUUCUUUUUUUUUUUUUGGCUAUGCCACACAACUUGUGGGAUCUUAGUUCCCCAAGCACAAAUCAAACUCAGGCCCAUAGCAGUGAAAGCAACAAGACUUAACCACUAGACCACCAAGGAAUUUCCUAUAAGAGAAUAUUGAUUCCUCAUUACCCACUCCUAUGAUCCUCUUCAUUUGCUUCGAUUUGUCUAACUGAAAUCCAACAUAAAAGUGUCACAGAGAGUUAAUUGUAAACUCAUAACUUGGAAGAAAAGCAUUUCUUCUAUCAUUGCUACUCUUAUAAUUUUUACAUGCCAAAAAUUAUAAGAUUUUUCAUUUCAUAUACGCAAAAAUCUUUAUAGUGUUAUCCAUCACACACUUUAAUUUCCUUUGUAAUUAACUGGAACACCUGUUUUUUAACAACUCAGCUGAAAUACUACAUUCCCCAAACUUCUUAGCAUCUAGAGAUGAUUAAGUGACAUAGCGAAAGAGACACAAGUGUAAGUCUGCUGAUUAUUUCUUUAAAAGUUUUGCUUCCCAAAGUGCUGCCCUUUCUUCUUGUACCUUUCUCUUUAUUCCCUGGAGAUGGUCAUAAUGUCUGAAGCUGUAAAAGUCAUCUUAUCCUCAUGAGGGAAAGGCAGGGAGAAUGGCUAAGACUUUAGAACUGACCUUUUUAAGCCCCUGAACAAUUCACAGUGGUUACUUUCAACUUUUCUUCUUGAUUACUUAAUAAAAUGGAAAAAUAAACCGAAUUUGUUUAAAUCAUUUAGUUGACUUUACUUUUACAUCUAGCCAAACACAAUCAUGAAUAGCUAGUGCACCAGAUAGAAAGCAUCUAUUUCCUCCAUAAAAAAGGAAAAACCCCUUAGCUUCACUGAUUGGGUCAACUUCAGUCGCACAUCAACCCUAUCUCCAAUUACUUUGGCAAGAGAGGUGCUGUGUGCUAAUUGGUUUAGUUCAGUAAGGACUCACCUUUGGAGGUGGGGUCAAUCCCUUUAAACCAACUUGUUUGCAGCUCCAUGGGGUAAGUACAGGAGAAAGAAAGGGAAGUUUGGGUGUGAAGUAGGCAGGGAGCAUGUCUGCUCCAUCUCUAUUGUAGAUAAGCCUUUAAAAUUUAUUACUAAUUAUUCUUAAUCUACUGAUCUGCCGGUUAGAUUUGACUCCUGUGUAAUUUAUAACAGAGUGAUUGGCGCUGCUUAUCUGAGCCAUGUGGUCUGACUGGGUUAAUACAUUCAAAUACAAGAUUUCAUCAAUUAGCAUCUCUGAGCUUAGUUAAAGGGAGUCCUUCAUCCCCACCUCUAAGAAAAUUUAUCCUCACCCACCAGAGUGAAAGUUUGCUACCUGGAUUCCAUCAAAUCCCAAAAGCACUGUAGCAUCCACUGUGAACAAGUCAACAAUUAACAGAAUGUUUGUCUUGUGUGGUGAUUUGGAUAUAGUGAGAUGACUACUUUCACUGUUCUGAUUUUCUAUAUGUGUUUAAUGAGCAUGUGUUAUUAUUUUGCAAUUAAAUGACUUAAUAAGUGAAAAUUUUAAAGGAAUAGAGAAAUUUCUCAUUUCUAUAGUGCUACAAUCUGUUACCUAAUUAUUCAUGAAAACAUGAGUAUUGUUUGCCCAACAAAAAGGUAGAAAAACAGUAGAAGAGCACCCCUAUGAGUGAAAGCAGACCUAUAUACCAGGAACAGUGCAUAAGAGUGAGUCUUACCUGUAGAUAUCUAGACCAUCAUGAGUUUAAUACGGGCACUGUAGUAAGCAGAGUUCUGAGAGCCUCCCAGGGCGUACCUGCUUUGCAUAAUAUCUGGAUCUUUGUAUGUGGGUCUAUCUCUUUAUUUCUAGGAUCAGAUAUGUUAUACAGCACAGACUUUUAUAACAUGUGGAUCAUUUGACUGGGCUUCACCUCCCAUGAAGCCUUCAAGAGCAGAGUUUUCUCUGGCUAGUAGCAAAAAAAGAAUUCACCCUUCAAGCACGAGAAGGAUUUUUCUGGCUGUCAAUGGAUAUGUAAGGUAUAUUGGUAAAGCUGCUCUUUCACUUCUGCCCUCUGAAUUUCACACAUAAAGGUCUCUUAUGGCCCAUUCUAGUCAGAAACAUACAGAGCAGGAAAUUCUGGGAAAGGUAGUUAGCCUACCCAAGGUGACAGCAGAGUCUCAAAAGAGAAAUUGUGUUGUGAGUCAUGGGGAGAUGGGAGCCAUUAGCAGACUUAGAUGAAUGAUUGAUGGCC
Long non-coding RNA from Bubalus bubalis (water buffalo), 2490 nucleotides. RefSeq lists it as uncharacterized. The record is from RefSeq and is a predicted model, not a curated record. NCBI's taxonomy places the organism in Eukaryota, Metazoa, Chordata, Mammalia, Artiodactyla, Bovidae. The transcript is spliced from 2 exons.